This 459-nucleotide ribosomal RNA is filed under the name Salmonella enterica. RNAcentral's name for it is "bacterial SSU rRNA". It matches the Rfam family "Bacterial small subunit ribosomal RNA", at positions 1 to 458 of the family's 1533-position model. Lineage: Bacteria; Pseudomonadati; Pseudomonadota; Gammaproteobacteria; Enterobacterales; Enterobacteriaceae. The record is from RNAcentral. RNAcentral also lists the same sequence under 1 other name.
AAAUUGAAGAGUUUGAUCAUGGCUCAGAUUGAACGCUGGCGGCAGGCCUAACACAUGCAAGUCGAACGGUAGCACAGAGAGCUUGCUCUCGGGUGACGAGUGGCGGACGGGUGAGUAAUGUCUGGGAAACUGCCUGAUGGAGGGGGAUAACUACUGGAAACGGUGGCUAAUACCGCAUAACGUCGCAAGACCAAAGAGGGGGACCUUCGGGCCUCUUGCCAUCAGAUGUGCCCAGAUGGGAUUAGCUAGUUGGUGAGGUAACGGCUCACCAAGGCGACGAUCCCUAGCUGGUCUGAGAGGAUGACCAGCCACACUGGAACUGAGACACGGUCCAGACUCCUACGGGAGGCAGCAGUGGGGAAUAUUGCACAAUGGGCGCAAGCCUGAUGCAGCCAUGCCGCGUGUAUGAAGAAGGCCUUCGGGUUGUAAAGUACUUUCAGCGGGGAGGAAGGUGUUGUG